GUCGAACGGCAGCACGGGAGCAAUCCUGGUGGCGAGUGGCGAACGGGUGAGUAAUAUAUCGGAACGUGCCCAAUCGUGGGGGAUAACGCAGCGAAAGCUGUGCUAAUACCGCAUACGAUCUAUGGAUGAAAGCGGGGGAUCGCAAGACCUCGCGCGAAUGGAGCGGCCGAUAUCAGAUUAGCUAGUUGGUGGGGUAAAAGCUCACCAAGGCGACGAUCUGUAGCUGGUCUGAGAGGACGACCAGCCACACUGGAACUGAGACACGGUCCAGACUCCUACGGGAGGCAGCAGUGGGGAAUUUUGGACAAUGGGCGAAAGCCUGAUCCAGCAAUGCCGCGUGCAGGAUGAAGGCCUUCGGGUUGUAAACUGCUUUUGUACGGAGCGAAACGGUUAUCUCUAAUAAAGAUGGCUAAUGACGGUACCGUAAGAAUAAGCACCGGCUAACUACGUGCCAGCAGCCGCGGUAAUACGUAGGGUGCGAGCGUUAAUCGGAAUUACUGGGCGUAAAGCGUGCGCAGGCGGUUUUGUAAGACAGAGGUGAAAUCCCCGGGCUCAACCUGGGAACUGCCUUUGUGACUGCAAAGCUAGAGUACGGUAGAGGGGGAUGGAAUUCCGCGUGUAGCAGUGAAAUGCGUAGAUAUGCGGAGGAACACCGAUGGCGAAGGCAAUCCCCUGGGCCUGUACUGACGCUCAUGCACGAAAGCGUGGGGAGCAAACAGGAUUAGAUACCCUGGUAGUCCACGCCCUAAACGAUGUCAACUGGUUGUUGGGAAUUAACUUUCUCAGUAACGAAGCUAACG
Molecule: ribosomal RNA, 800 nt
Filed under: uncultured bacterium
Lineage: Bacteria
Description: bacterial SSU rRNA
Rfam family: Bacterial small subunit ribosomal RNA
Source: RNAcentral